CUAAUUUAGAUUUUAUUCUGGUAUUUCUCAAAUAUAAAAAGUCAAAAUUCUUACAUCAAUCUUUAAGGAAAAUCCAUGCAAGCAGGUCAAAAUGUGUACAACUUAAUUCCCUUCCCCCCCCUCCCCUACCCCCCCCCCCCCUUGCUUUCAGUUUUCACUUCACAAACCAUGCUGGUAAGUAAACCAAGUGUCUGCCCCUCAUGUUUCUUUUCACAGCAUUGUUAAUAGAACAAUGCUAGGCUAAGCCAGGGGUGCAGUAAGCACCAAAAUAAGAUUAUUCACUUGAACAGCCUCUCUGCAAUACCUCAGGAUUUCUUGUGUUGAAAGCACAUUCAUUUUGCUUAAUUCUGGCUCCAUGAGAUUUUAAACUUUAAGGCUCUUUUUCUUUGAUACCACCAUAAUGUAACUAAUGAGAAUCUCAAAACCUAUCAGCCAGGAAAAGCAGCAGUACAAAGUAGACUCUGACAAUUGCAGAUGACAACCUGUCUCUUCCCUUUUUCCUCUGGAGAACCAAAUUGGAUACAUUGUACCGAAUUUUUGGCAUGAGAAAAAUACCAAUUUUGCUUUGUUUGAAAUAGUUUUGGCCCAUCAAACUAGAGAUUCAUGUAAAAACAAAAUGCUUCUAACAUUUAUAUUGAUAAGUAGUAGAAAAAUUGUGGCCUUUCUAUUCCAACUUUAAAACUCUUUCUGUUGGGAGUUUAGUGUCAGAUUUCAUUAGUAUCAAAGCCAUACUGCCAUCCCUUUACUGCAGUUGUUCCCUGUAGCAAAACUGAAGUGUCUUCAAUUGACAUCUGCGAUACACAAAACAUUCUCUUUGAAAGGGAGUAGAAGUCAAAGCAAUAGAGCUUCAUUCUGAAGGUUGCAUAGAGACUGAAGAGAUUUGUACAACAAAUGCUGUUUAAAGAAAAAAAAAAUCUGUCUGGCACUACUGAACAGCUUAAAUGUGUGUGACCAAAAAUAUUUAUAGGCAAUCAACUCUGAGUUUGUUAGCAACGGCAAUACUGUACAUUUUACAUUAUUAUCAAAUACAUAAUUCAAGAGUUACAAAAUAAGAUCAUGCAUUACCACUAAAUCUCAUACAAGCUUGGAUUGAUUUCAUUCCAAGAAUCUGAAAAGGAGACAGAGCAUUUUUUUAAAUGAAUAAAAAUUCAAACUCUGCAUUCUGUUUUAGCUUUCAUGGAUUUGAUGUAAUCUUGUUACAAGAAAACCUAUACAAGUUUGCUCAAUUUAAAGUGUUAAAAUAACUACUGAACAAAAAAUGUGAGCAUUAAAGUGAUCAAAAAAGGGAGCUAAAUGGUUCAUUCUUUUAAAGGCAGCUUUGGAGCCAGAGGUCCCCUUCCACACCAUGAGUAUGAUUUUAAUAAAGAUUAGACAUUCAUUAUGCUCAACCCCUCCUUCUCCUGUUUCAUCUGGCAGAACAGUUUAGAGUAGUGAGCUGAGGAAAUGGUAUCCCAGUCUGGAACAGGAUCAGUGUAAAAUUAGGUGUAUUCAUGUGUGCACUACUGAAAUAGCAACGCUCCUUCCCUGGCCUCCCACCUCAUGGUUGAAAGGACGGACAAGCUGUUGGAAAUACUUCCACCUUUAGGUGCACCUAAACACUUGUGUGUUCUUUCCAGUUCUGGAAGUGACCUGGACUAGUGAUGGAAAGUAGUGUCUACCCACUGCUUCAGAAGUCUUUAGCUUUGUGGCUCAUGCCUCUUGUCAGUAGUAUUUAUGCCUCUUCAAAGAGAGCAGCAUUAAGAGAUCAGAUCAUCUAUCUCCCUAGUUUCACUGCAUUUACAUAUGGCACAAGAUUGUUUUUCAAGGAGUAACUUGUGGCAACAACAAUUUUUCCUAAAAAAGUGUAACAGCACAAAAAAAUUCAUAGCAGCACUUUACACAAUUUGUGUUAAAAAAGUAGAAGUUAACCAUUUGUGUAUUGAGUAACAAAAGGUUUAAAUUACAUUUAUUUUCCAUUUUACACUCACUAUUUACUAGUUGGACUAUUUACAAAGGUUCAAAUGUUGUAUAAGAGAAUGAGCUUUACCCAGAAUAAACUUCAAAUGUGAGGUAGUGGUCUACCUCGACCUGUUUUGGCUGGAUAUAAAGGAGGUACAGUUGGGUUUAAAUCCUAGAAAAAAAUUCUGAAGUAGGAUGUUCAUGUGAAUUAGACUGUGUUCUUGUAGAAGAAACCAUGCACACACACACACAUACAGAGAGAGUAAUCCUAUGGUAAAAACAUUAAGACCAAAAGUGGAUUUAGUUUUCAUCUUCUUGGAUGAAAAGCAAGAGAAAUAAUUAGAACAGGAAGUUGUCAGCUGUACCUCAUUUAUUCCAACUAUAUUUUUACCAAGAGGCCAGCUUUUAUUUGAAGAAGCUAUAGUAAUUGAUGUUUAAACAGAAGAACUGAAUGAUUUAAAAACUAACUUAAAAUUGGGGGUUUCAGCACUCCUUGUAAUAGGACAAAGGAGUAUUAUUUCUCUACUGGUGUAGUAGCUAUCAACACUCCUGUCCUAUAAGCACUGGAGGCAGCACUACUGGCUCCUGCGGGGCAAGGCACCUCAACACAUGCUUGCUAAUAGACACCUCUGCCACAUAAGUGUGCCCCUGGUUAAGUCUUACUUUCCUCCAAACAUUUUUAAAUUGCAGACUGCAGGAACACUAAAUGAGAUGUUUCUAAUUGAAGAUAGAAGUUUUUUGAACCUGCAGUGUAAUCACAACGUGAACAAAACAUGUAUUUAAGGUUAAAAGGAAAGGGGGGAAGAAAGAUCUACAAUGCUUUUCACACAAAUCUUCUGACAGCUCACUGGCUGACCAAGUGAUGAAACUACAGACUAGUGGAUAGUUUUGGUAGCUGCAAGACAAAGUUUUUGUUCUUGCCCUAGUUAUAUGUUACAUGAAGAUUGCAUAGGACAAGGCAACCUUUUGGAUAGCUGAGGCAAGCAGUGCUUAGUGUUGGUAUCCUUUGCUCUUGACAGGCUGAAUGUGGUUUAGUGCUUUAUGGUAUCACCCUUGUGCACCUCUGCCUUCAACACAUCCAUUUACCCAAAUACUGCCAGCUUAAGGGUCUUAGCACUUCAUCUGUGGAUACCAAAUAAGAGUUUAGUAUAAGACUAUUUGCUCAAGCAUUAACUACUGACUAAAACUCACAAGUUUUAAAUAAGCUGAACACCACUGAGAUGCAUAUUUUAUUUUAGCAGAUAUGUAAAUUUAUAAAUUUAUAUAGUCAAGUUUAUUUUUAUAGCCUAUUAAGGCAUCUUAAAAAUCCC
RNAcentral lists this long non-coding RNA (3248 nucleotides) under Taeniopygia guttata (zebra finch). RNAcentral describes it as "lncRNA (ENSTGUG00000018862.1)". The record is from RNAcentral. Lineage: Eukaryota; Metazoa; Chordata; Aves; Passeriformes; Estrildidae.